AGACAUGAGGCCAGUUUGGAUGUGAUCUCUCACUCCAGCCAAAUCAUCAGCACUUAUUUGGCUGAUUUGGCUGGUUAGGAAGAGGUUCUCUUUUCUCUUAAAUACUCCGCAUGUACCCAACUUGCAGUCUCAGAGAUGAGGGCCACUGUUGACUGUUGGUGAUGAGUCUGCUCCUAAGCUCCCUUGUUUGCUUUUCCUCAAAAGCUCUCAGUUUCUGAAAGCAUAAGUUGGUCUAAUGCUAUGACAUGUUGGGUAGGACAUGCAGAGCCUGGGUGAAACAGAAAACACCUAUGUGUUU
RNAcentral lists this small nuclear RNA (298 nucleotides) under Bison bison bison. RNAcentral's name for it is "7SK RNA (ENSBBBG00000016163.1)". The stretch from base 1 to 250 matches the Rfam family "7SK RNA". Rfam says of the family: 7SK was discovered as an abundant small nuclear RNA in the mid-70s but a possible function has only recently been suggested. Two independent studies have found that 7SK RNA binds the CDK9/cyclin T complex (known as elongation factor P-TEFb). P-TEFb activates transcription by phosphorylating the C-terminal domain of RNA polymerase II. Lineage: Eukaryota; Metazoa; Chordata; Mammalia; Artiodactyla; Bovidae. The record is from RNAcentral.